Haliotis rubra (blacklip abalone) is the source of this 896-nucleotide long non-coding RNA. RefSeq lists it as uncharacterized. NCBI's taxonomy places the organism in Eukaryota, Metazoa, Mollusca, Gastropoda, Lepetellida, Haliotidae. The record is from RefSeq and is a predicted model, not a curated record. The transcript is spliced from 3 exons.
CCACGCUGGCAACUCUGGUCGUGAAAGAUGUUACCUUCACCCCGAACCUGAGAGAUCGUAAUAUAGUGGUGGGAGGGACUCAAACUGCAGAGUUUUUAAACUUUUUCAGUAAACACCAUAACAUCCAGGGGUUAUUGAUGGAAGUUGAAAGCAAUCCACAGAAUCCUUCUCCUGUCACUGAAACAAAUGAAAUCUGCUAAAGGGGUUUGCUGGAAAAAGGAGAUCUCGAGAAACAUUUUUACUGACACCUUGGAAACUGGUGAUAUCAAGAAAGUACCCAUACAUAGGAACCCUGGAAACUGGUGAUCUCAUGACAAAAACUGUUGUUGGAACCCUGGAACUAGGUGAUCUCAUAAAAGAACCUGUUAUUCGAAAUAGUUUCAAAAACCCUGGUUUGUGAAAGCCUGGAAACAUUUUCUAAAAAAGGCAUGCCCUCCAUCACAGUGGAAUCGAGGCUUAUGAGUGUGCUGAAUGUUUGAAAAGCUUCGCACUAUCGGAUAAUCUUCAGAUACAUGUGAAGAUUCACAGUGGAAUCAAGCGCUAUGAAUUUGGGAAAGCAUUUACAGGAUCAGAUACUCUUAACGUACAUAUGCAGAUUCACAGUGGAGUAUAAUGUAAUGAAUGUUUGAAAACUGUACACAUUCAAGUAGUCUGCGGACACACAUGACGAUUCACAGUUGAUUCAAGCCGAAUGAGUGUGUUGAAUUUGUUCAAUCAUUGAGACUGUCAGGUUAUCUUCAGAAACAUAUGAAGAUUCACAUUGUAAUCAACCCUUAUGUGUUGAAUGUGGGCAAAAAUUAACAUUUCAGGUCAUAUGCAGAAACACAUGAAGAUUCACAGUGGAAUCAAACAUCAUCAGUGCACCGUGUGUGAGAAAACAUUUACACAAUCAGGUA